CGUGCAACAAAAAAAAAAUGGUAACUCUUCAAGGAUCAAAAUCUUAUGCUGCACAUGCACAUGAAAUGGUAAGUUAUGAAAAUUUUAAAUAUUAUAUUUCAUGAAUUUUAUACAUCAAUUCUUUUUUCUUAAACAAAGGAAUCCAUGUACAAAAGAGCUACCGAGUCACAUCAAAUUUUUCUAUGAGAUAAAUUGUAGCGAUGAACGUGGGUGGACAACUGAAUAAGCAGAGUCUCAUUAUUUAAGUAGUUUAACUUGUUAUAAUUGUAUAAUAAAUAUUUCAAAAAAUUUAAUAUUUUAUUUAUAAUUUACAUGGAUCCACAUAAUCAAAUGGUCGAACUUUCACAAGAACAAAAUUCUUAACUAGAUUCGAAUGAACAACCUAUGCCUUUAAAAGAAUUUGAAAUAUGUGAGCAAGUUUUGGGCAAGAGAUUUAACUACGUUGAUCAAUAGAAAAAUUCAAAGAAGACAAGGUUGGAAAAUUGUGGCACUUGUGCAGAGAAGACUGCUUUACAGAAUGAGGUUGAAGAUCUUCGUUCACAAUUGAAAUCUGUGCAGACAUUCUAAACCACAUUCUUGAAUAGUUUUUUCGGCCUAUUCAAUCUGAUGUAUCUUCAUUCAAUGGUUUAAAUGGUGAUAAUUAAUAUAUUUUUCACUUUAGUUUUGGUGACUGUUCGU
This 678-nucleotide long non-coding RNA is filed under the name Olea europaea subsp. europaea. Lineage: Eukaryota; Viridiplantae; Streptophyta; Magnoliopsida; Lamiales; Oleaceae. The record is from RNAcentral.